Molecule: ribosomal RNA, 393 nt
Filed under: bacterium enrichment culture
Lineage: Bacteria
Description: bacterial SSU rRNA
Rfam family: Bacterial small subunit ribosomal RNA
Source: RNAcentral
UAAUACGGAGGAUCCAAGCGUUAUCCGGAUUUACUGGGUUUAAAGGGUGCGUAGGCGGAUUGAUAAGUCAGUGGUGAAAGCCUACAGCUUAACUGUAGAACUGCCAUUGAUACUGCCAGUCUGGAGUAUGGUUGAGGUAGCUGGAAUGUGUCAUGUAGCGGUGAAAUGCUUAGAGAUGACACAGAACACCAACGGCGAAGGCAGGUUACCAACCCAUUACUGACGCUGAGGCACGAAAGCGUGGGGAUCAAACAGGAUUAGAUACCCUGGUAGUCCACGCCGUAAACUAUGAUUACUCGUUGUUGGCGAUACAUUGCCAGUGACUGAGCGAAAGCAUUAAGUAAUCCACCUGGGGAGUACGUUCGCAAGAAUGAAACUUAAAGGAAUUGACGG